Molecule: long non-coding RNA, 2817 nt
Filed under: Trifolium pratense (red clover)
Lineage: Eukaryota; Viridiplantae; Streptophyta; Magnoliopsida; Fabales; Fabaceae
Description: long non-coding RNA (TPRA_LNC003399)
Source: RNAcentral
GGUACUACAAGACCGAUUCAAAAACUCGCCAUUUUGUGUUCUGCAGUUUAGCUUCUCAAAAUCCCUAACUCAGGUAACUCAUUUUUUCAGAUUUCUACUGAUUCAAAUGUCAACAUCUUCGUUUGACAGUGAUUUUUUGUAUUGGUUUGAUUUUGCUGAAUUGAAGUGAUUUUGUUUUGAUUUUAUUUUGAUGAGUUAAAGUGAUUUGUUUUGUUUGGUUGACUUCAAAUCAUUUUUUUUUGUUGGUAUAAAGUGAUUAUUGUUUAGUUAAAGUGAUUACCAUUUUGUGAACUGAGAUGAAACAAUUGGUUAGAGAUGUGAGUAUAGUAAUAGAUCUGAAACUGUUUUCAUUAUAAGGCCUCUGUUACUAAUAUUUUUUUUCUUUCUAUUUUCCCCUUUUUACCCUCUGCUGGUGUAUUAUUUUAGUGUGGAAUGUUUGUUUGUGUGUGCUUAAUUGCCUUGCCACUCUCUUAUUUUGGGAGGAAAAAAUUUGUACUUGUGAAUCACAAAGUUAGGCAUUUUAACAGCUUUCUUUUAUCUUUUGCAGUUACUCCUAUAAGCUAUAGCUAUUUUGUGUGUGUGAAUGACAUUAGAAUUGUAUAGGAAGUAAAUUGUGAAAAGUAAAUAAUUACUAUUUGAAAAAGGACAAAACUUACAUGCAUUUCCAUACAUGCAUUUCUUACUUUUCCACUCACAAAGAGGUGGUUAUUUGUGUUUUUUCAUUUUGAAAAAGUAAAAGAAAAUUAUUUUUUAAUAAAAAAAACUACCUCUUUGUGAGAGGAAAAGUAAGAAAUGUAUGUAUGCAAAUGCAUGUAAGUUUUGUCCUUUGAAAAAUAAGCUGAAAUUAAUAACACCUGAGACUAUAAUUAUCUUGUUUGUAAUUUGGUUAGUGAAGGAAGGUUUCUUGGUAGAGUUUACUUCCAAAUGUGUCUUAAUAAUUUCCAUAAUAUAGAGAUGGGGAAAUUAAUUCAAACACAAGAGAUAGAGCUGUUUUUCUGCCAUUUGGCUCACAGUUGUUGCCUAGCCGCUGAUGCUUAUUUCUAGUAUGGGGUAGUUUGCUGUUUUCAACUUUUUAGCAUGCUUUAUUUGUAUUAGCUUUGUUAUUUUGCUGUUUGUUGAUGGCCCGUGGUCUGCUUGUUUUGGACUAGGAAGUCACUAUAUUUGUUCUUGUACUAUGGUGGCCUAUAUAGCACUUCUAGUCUUAAACAUAAAGAAUGAGGUGCAUAAGGUCUCCCCUGUUUGUAAUUACUUUUGGUUUUCCCUAGCAUUCCUUGUGAUGGGUUAACUAGUUUUAAUAUAGUGUUUGCUGAUUUUAAAAAAAUAAUGUUAUGGUGCUAAAUGUGAAUCCCAUUUGGUUUGGUUUAUUUGUUUCUUUAUUUAUCUUUCUCUAUUAAGCUCAAACUCGGACUGUUGUAGCUCAUUGUUUGUUGUUGCCUUAUUUGUGGUUUGGUUAAUUGGAAUUUGGGAAGCUAAAUAUGAUGAAUUUAAGAUUAACAAUUGUGGAGUUUGUUGUUUGACUAAUUGGACUUAAGAGAGUAGUAGGAGUGUUUCAUUUCAUGUUAUUGUGACAAAUAGUAGUGGACUAGUAGUGGUUCUGAUUGUUUUGAGAGAUAGUAUUGGGUUGUUUUUACAAACUGCUUCACCUUAGACUCAAGUGCCAAUUCUCCAAAUUUUGAGAUAGCUUCUUUUGACAGUUCAGUAAGAAACUCCAUGUUUCUUUUGACAAGUUAGAGAACAAUGUGUUAGAUCAUGCAUAUACGAUUACGUAACUAUGGUUAUAUAUGUUUCUUAGUGGUCUGUCUUUUUCUUUAGAACCUCUGAUUUCUAAUCAAUUUUUUGUUUCUGCAGAACUCAACCUCUCUUUACCCAGACAGUCGCAAUGUUUUCUUCCCUGAUAUUUGCAUUGCUUUGAACCUUUAGGUAAGUGAGCCACAAAACCUUAUAAACACAUGUUAUAAGUUAGCAUGUAUGUUUGUGAUUUGGGUGCUUUUGACCUCUGUUAUAUAUGAACUCUAAUAUGAUACUAAUUAAUCUCAUUGAGCAAAAGCAAAAUGUAUCUAUCUUUUUAGAGAUGUUGUUAUAGUUUUUGUUAGCUUUCCAUUCAAUGUUUGCUUAGUUUUUGUUACCCUGUUGAAAUUGCAAUGGUAUUAUAGUUUCGUAUGUAGUUUCAAACUAUAUGUUUUUUUUUUCCUAUUAGAUUUAAAGUGAUGGACAAAGGGUGGAUCAAAGUUGAAGAUGAUUCUGAUCUGGAUGAUACUUUAUUAGACUUCAUGGACUAAAAAGACUAACUUUGGAAAUAUGUUGAUUUCACGUCUUUUUUUUUUUAAUAAUAUUUGUCCCUUCCCCUAUUAGUUUNNNNNNNNNNNNNNNNNNNNNNNNNNNNNNNNNNAGCUAUUUGCAUCGUUCUGACUUGUUUGUUAUCAAUGCUUGCAGUGUUGCAUGUUUGGAGUCUCACGAUGGGAUCGACAUAUUUGGAUGCAUGAAACAAAAAGAUAGAAGAGAACAGAAAAAGAUUGGAGGCUCUGAAUGUACAUAAUCUCUCUCAAUCCCUUUACAAAUCAUCUUCCAUCACAAAACCCUCGGUAAUAAUCCUUUUCCUUCCUUUUUUUUAAAGAAAUAGAAGUACAAUAAGUCCUACAUAUGAUGUACAAGUACAAUUAACACUAAGUUAAAACUAUAUGAAUUAUUAAGGACAGACGCAUUUAGUGUAAGAUGAAUUAUGAACACAUUUAGUUUCAAUUACAAUAUUUUUUAUAUGCUGAAAGUUAAUAAGGAAGUAGAAAGGAAGCUUUAGAAGUAAAAAAAAGAAACUUUGUA